CACCUUCCCUACCGCCCGGUUAUUGCCUAUAUAUAGGGUGCCGGGUUCGCCCGGCUAUGGUGAUAAACGUCUUUCGCAAUAAACGAUGCGGACCCGGGGGCGGUACCCGGCGCCUCCACCAAUUUUCCGGCCACGAGCGGCACGAUUUUGGGGGCGAAAUAGGAUCGACGCGCGCGUAAAGGUUUGACUUUCACCCGGCAUGGUACCGUCGUUAUCGGGCCACUACUAUAGGUGCCAACGACAAUGUUGAGCCCAUCGCUGUUGCCGCUUAAUAAGCGUCGAUAAGCGCGGUUCGGGGGGCACCGGGCAACAGAAGCCCCCCACU
Molecule: transfer-messenger RNA, 325 nt
Filed under: Alphaproteobacteria bacterium
Lineage: Bacteria; Pseudomonadati; Pseudomonadota; Alphaproteobacteria
Rfam family: Alphaproteobacteria transfer-messenger RNA
About the family: Bacterial tmRNA, also known as 10Sa RNA or SsrA, is named for its dual tRNA and mRNA-like properties.
Source: RNAcentral